This 440-nucleotide ribosomal RNA is filed under the name uncultured bacterium. RNAcentral describes it as "partial 16S ribosomal RNA". It matches the Rfam family "Bacterial small subunit ribosomal RNA", at positions 338 to 795 of the family's 1533-position model. The record is from RNAcentral.
CCUACGGGGUGCAGCAGUAGGGAAUAUUGCUCAAUGGGGGAAACCCUGAAGCAGCAACGCCGCGUGGAGGAUGAAGGUUUUCGGAUUGUAAACUCCUUUUGUUAGAGAAGACAAUGACGGUAUCUAACGAAUAAGCACCGGCUAACUCCGUGCCAGCAUCCGCGGUAAUACGGAGGGUGCAGGCGUUACUCGGAAUCACUGGGCGUAAAGGGCGCGUAGGCGGGAUAGCAAGUCAGAUGUGAAAUCCUAUGGCUUAACCAUAGAACUGCAUUUGAAACUGUAAUUCUAGCGUAUGGGAGAGGUAGGUGGAAUUCUGGGUGUAGGGGUAAAAUCCGUAGAGAUCAAGAGGAAUACUCAUUGCGAAGGCGACCUGCUAGAACAUAACUGACGCUGAUGCGCGAAAGCGUGGGGAGCAAACAGGAUUAGAUACCCCAGUAGUC